This 429-nucleotide ribosomal RNA is filed under the name Bacillota bacterium. Its description in RNAcentral is "Firmicutes bacterium partial 16S ribosomal RNA". It matches the Rfam family "Bacterial small subunit ribosomal RNA", at positions 355 to 776 of the family's 1533-position model. Lineage: Bacteria; Bacillati; Bacillota. The record is from RNAcentral.
UGGGGAAUUUUGGACAAUGGGCGAAAGCCUGAUCCAGCAAUGCCGCGUGUGUGAAGAAGGCCUUCGGGUUGUAAAGCACUUUUGUCCGGAAAGAAAUGGCUCUGGUUAAUACCUGGGGUCGAUGACGGUACCGGAAGAAUAAGGACCGGCUAACUACGUGCCAGCAGCCGCGGUAAUACGUAGGGUCCAAGCGUUAAUCGGAAUUACUGGGCGUAAAGCGUGCGCAGGCGGUUGUGCAAGACCGAUGUGAAAUCCCCGGGCUUAACUUGGGAAUUGCAUUGGUGACUGCAAGGCUAGAGUGUGUCAGAGGGGGGUAGAAUUCCACGUGUAGCAGUGAAAUGCGUAGAGAUGUGGAGGAAUACCGAUGGCGAAGGCAGCCCCCUGGGAUAACACUGACGCUCAUGCACGAAAGCGUGGGGAGCAAACAGG